Small nuclear RNA from Antechinus flavipes (yellow-footed antechinus), 104 nucleotides. The record is from RefSeq and is a predicted model, not a curated record. NCBI's taxonomy places the organism in Eukaryota, Metazoa, Chordata, Mammalia, Dasyuromorphia, Dasyuridae.
UUGCUUUAGCAGCACAUAUUAUAAAAUUGAAAUGAUGCAGAAAAAAUUAGUAUGAACUCUUGUGCAAGGACGACGUGCAAAUGCACAAAACAUUCCAUUUUCUA